This 24-nucleotide non-coding RNA is filed under the name Cricetulus griseus (Chinese hamster). Lineage: Eukaryota; Metazoa; Chordata; Mammalia; Rodentia; Cricetidae. The record is from RNAcentral.
GUGAUUACUAUUUGAAUUUGUGGG